GAAAUGCUUGGUGCUGAAGACCUGAAGAAUUGAAAACACUUCCUCACAAAAUCCUUGACAAUAUCAGAAAGUCCAUUUUUCUAUGGUGGGAGGGACCACGGCAAAGCAGGAACGGAGCAGCCAUCACCCACCACAUGACCAACAGGCAUCUCGGAUUUCCCAGAACAGCAUAACCCCGCUCCUGUGCUGCAGAGAAGAUGUAGCACUGGGAAUUGCCCUUGAAGGCUGGAGCGUAGUCACCAGUGGCCAGGGUGCACCACUGGAGGGAGGAGGACAGCAACACCAGGACUGCAACAAGUGGAAAAUGAUGGCAUGGAACCCUCUUGGGAGACUUGUCCUUGCACCUGGUUUGCAAUGAAGGGGCUUCUGGCUUAAGGAAGAGGCUGUGGCGUGCUGCUGGCUGUGACACUUGGACAGCACUUCCCCAUGGGCAUGCUGGGGCACUGAGGCACUGUGCUAAGCAAUGGUGCAGUGUAUUUUCCCACUAACAGAGCUGUCCUAGCAUGGAACAAGUAUUGCCCUGUACUCCGUGUUCAUCUCAAAUGACAGGAACAGGAUGCCCAAAGUGCGGGUUUCACAAAGGGCAGGACCUUGGGCUUUGCUUUCUGAGCUCUUUUGAUGUUUUCACACAUGGUUUGUGGGACUUCUUUGACUCCUGCUUGCUGUUCUGUCCUCUGAUUAACUAACGAGACAUAUGAUGAAGCCAUGACAUGCACAUGAAAUGGCAGGGCCACCGAGCACUUCAGCAUGGCAUUGCCCUCAGGCACACUGAAAGCAGCAGGAGUGUGGCAAGCUUUCAUAGAUAAUGUGCUAACAUACAUUGAAAUAUGAACAACAAAUUCCCUUCCCCUGCAUUUAAAAGUGUGUUGUCUGGUGCUCAUCCUACACUGGACUUUACCUCUGCCUCACCAAAUCAGUGCAAUUACUUACAUUUUACAGCAACAAAGGUGAACUUUUCAGCUAAAAGAGAAAAGGCUUAAACAAAGCCUAGAUAAUAACAUGCUAGUUUUAUAGCAAGACAGAGCACAAGUUUUCUCAGUGAUAGAUUUCACUAGUCAACUUCUGAACAGCAAGUGGUAACACCAGCUGCCUGCUACAAGUAGCAAAAUUAGAUGGAUGAUCCCUUUAUCUCCUGUCUCCUGUUAACACUCCUCAGGGAUCAAUGACUUUUUAAACUCAGUGGCUUGCAGAUGUGCCCUGACUGUUUAUCUAAAGGCCUUCAGGCUGCAUUUGGCCUCUGGAGAGGCAGAAAUUGCUGGGGACUGUGCCUUGGAUGAGCUCUCCCACACAGAAAAGUGCAUGGUCAGACUAUGGGCUAGGUCCAUCCACAGCAAAGUGGGAGUCAGCAAGCCUCCCCU
Molecule: long non-coding RNA, 1358 nt
Filed under: Apteryx owenii (little spotted kiwi)
Lineage: Eukaryota; Metazoa; Chordata; Aves; Apterygiformes; Apterygidae
Description: lncRNA (ENSAOWG00000010941.1)
Source: RNAcentral